Molecule: ribosomal RNA, 428 nt
Filed under: uncultured bacterium
Lineage: Bacteria
Description: partial 16S ribosomal RNA
Rfam family: Bacterial small subunit ribosomal RNA
Source: RNAcentral
GUGGGGAAUAUUGGACAAUGGGGGCAACCCUGAUCCAGCGACGCCGCGUGAGUGAUGAAGGCCUUCGGGUCGUAAAGCUCUGUUGCAGGGGAAGAACACAAUGACGGUACCCUGCUAGAAAGGAUCGGCUAACUUCGUGCCAGCAGCCGCGGUAAGACGAGGGAUCCUAGCGUUGUUCGGAAUUAUUGGGCGUAAAGCGGGUGCAGGUGGCUUGGUAAGUCAGAUGUGAAAGCCUGUGGCUUAACCCCAGAAGUGCAUUUGAUACUGAUGAGCUUGAGUGCUAGAGAGGCUAUUAGAAGUCCUGGUGUAGUGGUGAAAUACGUAGAUAUCAGGAGGAAUACCGGAGGCGAAGGCGGAUAGCUGGCCAGACACUGACACUCAGACCCGAAAGCGUGGGGAUCAAACAGGAUUAGAUACCCGGGUAGUCC